UGCCAGACUCCUACGGGAGGCAGCAGUGAGGAAUAUUGGUCAAUGGACGGAAGUCUGAACCAGCCAUGCCGCGUGCAGGAAGACGGCUCUAUGAGUUGUAAACUGCUUUUGUACAAGGGUAAACCUGAAUACGUGUAUUCAGCUGAAAGUACUGUACGAAUAAGGAUCGGCUAACUCCGUGCCAGCAGCCGCGGUAAUACGGAGGAUGCGAGCGUUAUCCGGAUUUAUUGGGUUUAAAGGGUGCGUAGGCGGACUGGAAAGUCAGCGGUAAAAUCGAGAGGCUCAACCUCUUUCCGCCGUUGAAACUGUCGGUCUUGAGUGGGCGAGAAGUAUGCGGAAUGCGUGGUGUAGCGGUGAAAUGCAUAGAUAUCACGCAGAACUCCGAUUGCGAAGGCAGCAUACCGGCGCCCGACUGACGCUGAGGCACGAAAGCGUGGGGAUCGAACAGGAUUAGAUACCCUGGUAAGC
This 468-nucleotide ribosomal RNA is filed under the name uncultured bacterium. Its description in RNAcentral is "bacterial SSU rRNA". It matches the Rfam family "Bacterial small subunit ribosomal RNA", at positions 329 to 795 of the family's 1533-position model. The record is from RNAcentral.